This 50-nucleotide transfer RNA is filed under the name Syzygiella autumnalis. Its description in RNAcentral is "partial tRNA-Phe". It matches the Rfam family "tRNA", at positions 1 to 48 of the family's 71-position model. Rfam says of the family: Transfer RNA (tRNA) molecules are approximately 80 nucleotides in length. Their secondary structure includes four short double-helical elements and three loops (D, anti-codon, and T loops). Lineage: Eukaryota; Viridiplantae; Streptophyta; Jungermanniopsida; Jungermanniales; Adelanthaceae. RNAcentral also lists the same sequence under 2 other names. The record is from RNAcentral.
GCCGGGAUAGCUCAGUCGGUAGAGCAGAGGACUGAAAAUCCUCGUGUCAC